Molecule: ribosomal RNA, 451 nt
Filed under: uncultured bacterium
Lineage: Bacteria
Description: partial 16S ribosomal RNA
Rfam family: Bacterial small subunit ribosomal RNA
Source: RNAcentral
GUGGGGAAUAUUGCGCAAUGGGGGAAACCCUGACGCAGCGACGCCGCGUGAGCGAAGAAGGCCUUAGGGUUGUAAAGCUCUGUUUUAAGGGACGAAUGUCGUGGGGAGUAAUAUGCUCUGCGAAUGACGGUACCUUAAGAGGAAGCCCCGGCUAACUACGUGCCAGCAGCCGCGGUAAGACGUAGGGGGCGAGCGUUGUCCGGAAUUACUGGGCGUAAAGAGCACGUAGGCGGGAACUUAAGUCAGGUGUGAAAGACCGGGGCUCAACUCCGGGGUUGCACUUGAAACUGGGUUUCUUGAGGGCAGGAGAGGAAAGCAGAAUUCCUGGUGUAGCGGUGAAAUGCGUAGAAAUCAGGAGGAAUACCAGUGGCGAAGGCGGCUUGCUGGGCAGCAACUGACGCUGAGGCGCGAAAGCCAGGGGAGCAAACGGGAUUAGAAACCCUAGUAGUCC